UUAUUUCUCCGGGGCCCAGGGGCAAUAGCCCAGAGCCAGAGAGGGAAAAUCACUUUCAUCUGGAGAAGCUCGUCCGUUAACACGGGGCGGCCCAUCUGCAGCUCCCCGCUGUUCCUAAAAGAAAGAUUAAGGAUUUGAGUUGGCCUGACGGAGAGAUCUUCCAGGCGACUCCGGCCCAUGGAGGAUGCAGAGCAUCACAUCAGAUCAAACAUUGAUAAACCAGUACUUUACCAGCGUUUUAUCAAUAUCUU
This is a long non-coding RNA of Salvelinus namaycush (lake trout), 251 nucleotides long. RefSeq lists it as uncharacterized. The transcript is spliced from 3 exons. The record is from RefSeq and is a predicted model, not a curated record. Lineage: Eukaryota; Metazoa; Chordata; Actinopteri; Salmoniformes; Salmonidae.